CCCUAAGAACAUAAUUUAAGGUAAAACCUGCUCAAUGUAUUACUCCAUAAAUAGCUGCAGUCAUCUGUACUAAGGUAGCAUAAUAAAUAGCUUUUUAAUUAAAAGAUAGAAUGAAAGGUUAAACGAAUAAAAACUGUAUCAUUAUUAUAAAUUAAACUUAAAUAAAAAGUUAAAAUUCUUUUAUCCAAAUAAGAAAGACGACAAGACCCUGAUAAACUAAACUAUUUCGCUGGGGCGGCAAACAAAAAAAACCUUAAUUUUUAAAGACAAACACAACUAAAAACAUUAAUUAAGAAAAAGUUACUACAGGGAUAACAGCGCAAUUUUUUUCUAGAGUUCCAAUCGUAAAAAAAAUAUACGACCUCGAUGUUGAAUUAAUUAACACUAACGAGGAGCAAAAUCCCACAAAGGUAGUCUGUUCG
RNAcentral lists this ribosomal RNA (422 nucleotides) under Ciboneya nuriae. RNAcentral's name for it is "partial 16S ribosomal RNA". Lineage: Eukaryota; Metazoa; Arthropoda; Arachnida; Araneae; Pholcidae. The record is from RNAcentral.